AUUGAACGCUGGCGGCAUGCUUUACACAUGCAAGUCGAGCGGCAGCGCGGGGGCAACCCUGGCGGCGAGCGGCGAACGGGUGAGUAAUACAUCGGAACGUGUCCCGUAGUGGGGGAUAGCCCGGCGAAAGCCGGAUUAAUACCGCAUAUGCUCUACGGAGGAAAGUGGGGACUCGCAAGGGCCUCACGCUAUGGGAGCGGCCGAUGUCCGAUUAGCUAGUUGGCGGGGAAAAGCCCACCAAGGCGACGAUCGGUAGCUGGUCUGAGAGGACGACCAGCCACACUGGGACUGAGACACGGCCCAGACUCCUACGGGAGGCAGCAGUGGGGAAUUUUGGACAAUGGGGAAACCCUGAUCCAGCCAUGCCGCGUGUGUGAAGAA
This 381-nucleotide ribosomal RNA is filed under the name uncultured bacterium. RNAcentral's name for it is "bacterial SSU rRNA". It matches the Rfam family "Bacterial small subunit ribosomal RNA", at positions 29 to 412 of the family's 1533-position model. The record is from RNAcentral.